CAUGGAGAUUACAGCAUUGCUCACGUUUUAUCGUUUACUUAUCUAUAUAUCAUGUUCAGAGAGAUGCAGGAACCGGUAUUGUCCACCGACAAAAGUAAGCUUUCUGGUCUGUCUUAGCCAAAGUGUUUUUACCGAGGUGUGACAAAUUUCUCACCACAAAAGUCACUCAAGUGCAGACUCAAGAAGAGUUUUGAGGGAAAAUUUGCAUGCCUUUAAUGCCUCUACAAAGCUGUAACUCCUAUUAUAUAAGCAAUUUUAUCACUCCAAUUCCUAAGCCUGCUUCGAGGAGAAAGCACCGCCAGCAACAACAUGAUUUGCUUUCAGGUAAAGAUUAAUACUCACUUAGUCGAGUCGAGCUCAGAGUAUUGCUUUCUUCAAGCUAAAUUUAUUGUUUCACACACGCAUAGAAUAGCGUGGCAAAAGCCCAAUGAAAUUGGAUAGGUCCCGCAUUCGGGAGGUUAUGUGUGAUUCAGCCCUGAGCACGUACUCAGUAGAUCUUUCACCUCGACCACAAGAGGUGGACUAGAGCUCCUGCAAGAAACCUUCUUAUAGGUUGUACAGAAGCGCAUGAAGGUCACGGAAAAUAUUUGGCCAUACUUUUAUUUGCUUUUACUCUUCCAAAGUAUCAAUGCCGUUAGAGUAGCAACACGGAUAUAAGUGCAUGGAAGAACCAUUUCAAAGUAAACGAUGAGGUUCACAUAUAUCAUUGCUUUUAACUUCUAGUCACCAUAGAUGGAGCUUGCAUUCUAAACAAACCUUGAACACAGCCCCUUGAACUGUCUCAUUAUCAUCAUCAGCAGCAGCAGCCUGGUUGCGCCCAUUGCGGGGCAAAGGCCUCUCCCAUACUUCUCCAACUACCCCGGUCAUGUACUAAUUGCGGCCAUGUUGUCACUGCAAACUUCUUAAUCUCAUCUGCCCACCUAACUUUCUGGCGCCCUCUGUUAGGCUUCCCUUCGCUUGCGAUCCAUUCUGUAACUCUAAAAGACCAUCGGUUAUCUUCCCUCCUCAUUACGUGUCCUGCCCAUGCCCAUUUCUUUUUCUUGAUUUCAACUAAGAUAUCAUUAACUCGUGUUUGUUCCCUCAUCCAAUCUGCUCUUUUCUUAUCGCUUAACGUUACACCUAUCAUUCUUCUUUCCAUGGCUCGUUGCGUCGUCCUCAAUUUAAGUAGAACCCUUUGGAAGCCUCCAGGUUUCUGCCCCGUACAUCAGUACUGGUAAGACAGAGCUGUUAUAAACUUUUCUCUUGAGGGAUUCCUCCAAUUUCUCUAAUUCCUCCAAUAGCACUGCUAAACUCGCCUCACUAGAUCACGUUCUAGCGUUAAACGUUGCCAGGUUCAUAUUACAAUGUCGGCCUGUCCGGAGGUGUGUCGCAGGUCUGACCACCGCCCUGGUCAGUUGCUUCGCAGCUGCUGGGGACUGAGGGCCCGGGUUUGAUUGUUGUGUUCAUAUAGGAGGUUGCGGCCAAGUACUGCACCAGGGUGGCCAAUCCUGUUCUGGUGAGGGAGUGCGUUGCCGGUUCUCGUCGCCGUGAUCAGGCCACACUCCAGGCCGGCUUAUGCAACUUCAUCAACACGCAGAUUUUUUUUAUCGGGUGGAAAAUUACGCGGCUCCGGGAUUCGAACCAUGGACCUCUUGCACGCGAGGCGGGUGUUCUACCUCUACGCCAGCGCUGCACCACCUUCUGUGCACUGUCUAAAUCACCUUAUCUUAAAUGUAGGUUUGUCCCGUUGUCCGAGGCACAGUUGCGGCUGCAAAGAGAAAGUUACUUGUUUGCAUCUUGGAAGAUCCUGCAUAUGCAAGUGCGCGACAAAAUACGAGCACUGUUCGCGUCCUUGGAAAUCUACUUGCCCCGUCGUCUAUUGCCGUGGUGAACACACAAGAAGGUGUUUGUGCACAUGCGUUAAUCCGCCACCUAGCCAUUCCCCGAGCCGGCCCUGCUGUAACCAAGCAAACCAAGUACCCAGACCAUAUCCAAGUUCACCUUGUUGCCAGAACGGGGCCACAACCGCCGAAACUCCGGCUCAACGCCAGCCCUGCUGUAAGCCAAUUGUUGGGGAACGUUGAUUUGUCGAAGAAAAUGCAACAAGAAAUUUCAA
Dermacentor albipictus is the source of this 2095-nucleotide non-coding RNA. Lineage: Eukaryota; Metazoa; Arthropoda; Arachnida; Ixodida; Ixodidae. The record is from RefSeq and is a predicted model, not a curated record.